This 467-nucleotide ribosomal RNA is filed under the name uncultured bacterium. RNAcentral describes it as "partial 16S ribosomal RNA". It matches the Rfam family "Bacterial small subunit ribosomal RNA", at positions 28 to 506 of the family's 1533-position model. The record is from RNAcentral.
GACGAACGCUGGCGGCGUGCUUAACACAUGCAAGUCGAACGGAAAGGCCCUGCUUUUGUGGGGUGCUCGAGUGGCGAACGGGUGAGUAACACGUGAGUAACCUGCCCUUGACUUUGGGAUAACUUCAGGAAACUGGGGCUAAUACCGGAUAGGAGCUCCUGCUGCAUGGUGGGGGUUGGAAAGUUUCGGCGGUUGGGGAUGGACUCGCGGCUUAUCAGCUUGUUGGUGGGGUAGUGGCUUACCAAGGCUUUGACGGGUAGCCGGCCUGAGAGGGUGACCGGCAACAUUGGGACAGAGAGAAGGCCGAGACUCCGACGGGAGGCAGCAGUGGGGAAUAUUGAACAAUGGGGGGAAGCCUGAUGCAGCAACGCCGCGUGGGGGAUGACGGCCUUCGGGUGGUAAACAGCUUUCGCCUGUGACGAAGCGUGAGGGACGGUAAUGGGUAAAGAAACACCGGCGAACUACGU